Molecule: ribosomal RNA, 408 nt
Filed under: uncultured bacterium
Lineage: Bacteria
Description: partial 16S ribosomal RNA
Rfam family: Bacterial small subunit ribosomal RNA
Source: RNAcentral
GACGAACGCUGGCGGCGUGCUUAACACAUGCAAGUCGCACGAAGUGGCGAAAGGGUGAGUACUACGGGGGUAACCGGCGCUCACUUCUGGGAUAAGCCUUGGAAACGGGGUCAAAUACCGAAUACAGGGGGAUGGGCUGUCGGCCUAUCAGCAUGUUGGGGGGGUGAUGGCCGACCAAGGAGGGGCCGGGUAGGCGACCUGAGAGGGUGACCGGCCACAUUGGGAGUGGGAGACGGGCCAGGCGCCGAGGGGGGGCAGCUGUGGGGGAUAUUGCACAAGGGGCGAAAGCCUGAUGCGGCGACGCCGCGUGGGGGGUGAAGUCGUACGGGUUGUAAACCUCUUUCGCUAUCGAACGGGUAGGUGGCGAAGAAGCGCCGGCUAACUACGUGCCAGCAGCCGCGGUAAUUC